AGGAAGGAAAAGAGGGAACAUGUUGAACUAUUGGAACGUGCCCAGCCUUAGAAGUAGCCUUCAGACUAACCUACUUCCCUGCAAUAACAAGGCCCCUGAAUAUAACAACAUUUAGGAAGGAACCCCUGUUCCUGGAGAGAGACCCUCCUGUAGGUUUUAACCCCAACCCUGUUCCUGGAGAGUUACCUUCCUGUAGGUUUUAACUCCAACCCUGUUCCUGGAGAGUUACCUUCCUGUAGGUUUUAACCCCAACCCUGUUCCUGGAGAGUUACCUUCCUGUAGGUUUUAACUCCAACCCUGUUCCUGGAGAGUUACCUUCCUGUAGGUUUUAACCCCAACCCUGUUCCUGGAGAGAGACCCUCCUGUAGGUUUUAACUCCAACCCUGUUCCUGGAGAGUUACCUUCCUGUAGGUUUUAACUCCAACCCUGUUCCUGGAGAGAGACCCUCCUGUAGGUUUUAACUCCAACCCUGUUCCUGGAGAGUUACCUUCCUGUAGGUUUUAACUCCAACCCUGUUCCUGGAGAGUUACCUUCCUGUAGGUUUUAACCCCAACCCUGUUCCUGGAGAGUUACCUUCCUGUAGGUUUUAACCCCAACCCUGUUCCUGGAGAGAGACCCUCCUGUAGGUUUUAACUCCAACCCUGUUCCUGGAGAGUUACCUUCCUGUAGGUUUUAACUCCAACCCUGUUCCUGGAGAGUUACCUUCCUGUAGGUUUUAACCCCAACCCUGUUCCUGGAGAGUUACCUUCCUGUAGGUUUUAACCCCAACCCUGUUCCUGGAGAGUUACCUUCCUGUAGGUUUUAACCCCAACCCUGUUCCUGGAGAGAGACCCUCCUGUAGGUUUUAACUCCAACCCUGUUCCUGGAGAGAUACCCUCCUGUAGGUUUUAACUCCAACCCUGUUCCUGGAGAGAUAUCCUCCUGUAGGUUUUAACUCCAACCCUGUUCCUGGAGAGGUACCCUCCUGUAGGUUUUAACUCCAACCCUGUUCCUGGAGAGAUACCCUCCUGUAGGUUUUAACUCCAACCCUGUUCUUGGAGAGUUACCUUCCUGUAGGUUUUAACUCCAACCCUGUUCCUGGAGAGAGACCCUCCUGUAGGUUUUAACUCCAACCCUGUUCCUGGAAAGAGACCCUCCUGUAGGUUUUAACUCCAACCCUGUUCUUGGAGAGUUACCUUCCUGUAGGUUUUAACUCCAACCCUGUUCCUGGAAAGAGACCCUCCUGUAGGUUUUAACUCCAACCCUGUUCCUGGAGAGAGACCCUCCUGUAGGUUUUAACUCCAACCCUGUUCCUGGAGAGAGACCCUCCUGUAGGUUUUAACUCUAACCCUGUUCCUGGAGAGAUACCCUCCUGUAGGUUUUAAUUCCAACCCUGUUCCUGGAGAGAGACCCUCCUGUAGGUUUUAACUCCAACCCUGUUCCUGGAGAGAGACCCUCCUGUAGGUUUUAAUUCCAACCCUGUUCCUGGAGAGAGACCCUCCUGUAGGUUUUAACUCCAACCCUGUUCCUGGAGAGAGACCCUCCUGUAGGUUUUAACUCCAACCCUGUUCCUAGAGAGAGACCCUCCUGUAGGUUUUAACUCCAACCCUGUUCCUGGAGAGAGACCCUCCUGUAGGUUUUAACUCCAACCCUGUUCCUAGAGAGAGACCCUCCUGUAGGUUUUAACUCCAACCCUGUUCCUGGAGAGAGACCCUCCUGUAGGUUUUAACUCCAACCCUGUUCCUGGAGAGAUACCCUCCUGUAGGUUUUAAUUCCAACCCUGUUCCUGGAAGAGAGACCCUCCUGUAGGUUUUAACUCCAACCCUG
Oncorhynchus keta (chum salmon) is the source of this 1806-nucleotide long non-coding RNA. RefSeq lists it as uncharacterized. Lineage: Eukaryota; Metazoa; Chordata; Actinopteri; Salmoniformes; Salmonidae. The transcript is spliced from 5 exons. The record is from RefSeq and is a predicted model, not a curated record.